UGGACAUCAAUGAGAGAAAAAUACAUGUAGCAGGACAAUUCAAGAGAACAAAAAGAUAGAACAUAUCAAGGAAAAGAGAAGGCAGAAGAACAUCAGGAAUGCACCUACAAUAGAGACAUGGCCAGGUAAAACACAUCCUAUGCCGUCAGCAGCUAUGCCAAACCUUCCU
RNAcentral lists this long non-coding RNA (169 nucleotides) under Phasianus colchicus (ring-necked pheasant). Its description in RNAcentral is "lncRNA (ENSPCLG00000022114.1)". The record is from RNAcentral. Lineage: Eukaryota; Metazoa; Chordata; Aves; Galliformes; Phasianidae.